This 240-nucleotide ribosomal RNA is filed under the name uncultured bacterium. RNAcentral's name for it is "partial 16S ribosomal RNA". It matches the Rfam family "Bacterial small subunit ribosomal RNA", at positions 791 to 1035 of the family's 1533-position model. The record is from RNAcentral.
UAGUCUUGGCCCUAAACUAUGUUCACUAGGUGUCGGGGGGUUUCCCUCGGUGCCGCAGCUAACGCAUUAAGUGAACCGCCUGGGGACUACGGCCGCAAGGUUGAAACUCAAAGGAAUUGGCGGGGGCCCGCACAAGCGGUGGAGCAUAUGGCUUAAUUCGAUGCAACGCGAAGAACCUUACCAGGGCUUGACAUGCACCUGCAAUCCCCCGAAACGGGGCCGCCUUCGAGGGUGGUGCAC